This 480-nucleotide ribosomal RNA is filed under the name uncultured bacterium. RNAcentral describes it as "partial 16S ribosomal RNA". It matches the Rfam family "Bacterial small subunit ribosomal RNA", at positions 28 to 507 of the family's 1533-position model. The record is from RNAcentral.
GACGAACGCUGGCGGCGUGCUUAACACAUGCAAGUUGAACGAGAAUUUUUCGAGUGAUUUCUUCGGAAUGAUCAUGAACAAGGAAAGUAGCGAACGGGUGAGUAACACGUGAGAAACCUGCCUUUCACAAAGGGAUAGCCUCGGGAAACCGGGAUUAAUACCUUAUGAAACCAAACACUCGCAUGAGAGAUUGGUUAAAGAUUUAUCGGUGUUAGAUGGUCUCGCGCCUGAUUAGCUAGUUGGUGGGAUAAAAGCCUACCAAGGCAACGAUCAGUAGCCGGGUUGGGAGGUUGACCGGCCACACUGGAGCUGAGACACGGUCCAGACUCCUACGGGAGGCAGCAGUGGGGAAUUUUGCACAAUGGAGGAAGCUCUGAUGCAGCGACGCCGCGUGAGUGAUGAAGGUCUUCGGAUUGUAAAACUCUGUCCUUAGUGAAGAUAAUGACAGUAACUAAGAAGCAAGCCCUGGCUAAAUACGUG